UGGGGAAUAUUGGACAAUGGGCGCAAGCCUGAUCCAGCCAUGCCGCGUGAGUGAUGAAGGCCCUAGGGUUGUAAAGCUCUUUCACCGGUGAAGAUAAUGACGGUAACCGGAGAAGAAGCCCCGGCUAACUUCGUGCCAGCAGCCGCGGUAAUACGAAGGGGGCUAGCGUUGUUCGGAUUUACUGGGCGUAAAGCGCACGUAGGCGGACUAUUAAGUCAGGGGUGAAAUCCCGGGGCUCAACCCCGGAACUGCCUUUGAUACUGGUAGUCUUGAGUUCGAGAGAUGUGAGUGGAAUUCCGAGUGUAGAGGUGAAAUUCGUAGAUAUUCGGAGGAACACCAGUGGCGAAGGCGGCUCACUGGCUCGAUACUGACGCUGAGGUGCGAAAGCGUGGGGAGCAAACAGG
Molecule: ribosomal RNA, 404 nt
Filed under: Actinomycetes bacterium
Lineage: Bacteria; Bacillati; Actinomycetota; Actinomycetes
Description: Actinobacteria bacterium partial 16S ribosomal RNA
Rfam family: Bacterial small subunit ribosomal RNA
Source: RNAcentral